GUGCCAGCCGCCGCGGUAAUACGUAGGCAGCAAGCGUUGUUCGGAGUUACUGGGCGUAAAGGGUGUGUAGGCGGUUCGCCAAGUUUGGUGUGAAAUCUCCCGGCUCAACUGGGAGGGUGCGCCGAAAACUAGCGGACUCGAGUGCGGGAGAGGGAAGCGGAAUUCCUGGUGUAGCGGUGAAAUGCGUAGAUAUCAGGAGGAACACCUGCGGUGCAGACGGCUUCCUGGACCGCCACUGACGCUGAAACACGAAAGCGUGGGUAGCAAACAGGAUUAGAAACCCUCGUAGUCC
Molecule: ribosomal RNA, 292 nt
Filed under: uncultured bacterium
Lineage: Bacteria
Description: partial 16S ribosomal RNA
Rfam family: Bacterial small subunit ribosomal RNA
Source: RNAcentral